This 30-nucleotide non-coding RNA is filed under the name Rattus norvegicus (Norway rat). The record is from RNAcentral. Lineage: Eukaryota; Metazoa; Chordata; Mammalia; Rodentia; Muridae.
UGUGACUUUCACUUUCCUGACAACUCUCAC